GCUAGUAAUCGCGAAUCAGAAUGUCGCGGUGAAUAACGUUCCCGGGCCUUGUACACACCGCCCGUCACACCAUGAGAGUCGAUAACACCCGAAGCCUGUGAGCUAACCUUUUAGGAGGCAGCAGUCGAAGGUGGGGUUGAUGAUUGGGGUGAAGUCGUAACAAGGUAUC
Molecule: ribosomal RNA, 169 nt
Filed under: uncultured bacterium
Lineage: Bacteria
Description: partial 16S ribosomal RNA
Rfam family: Bacterial small subunit ribosomal RNA
Source: RNAcentral